Molecule: ribosomal RNA, 253 nt
Filed under: uncultured bacterium
Lineage: Bacteria
Description: partial 16S ribosomal RNA
Rfam family: Bacterial small subunit ribosomal RNA
Source: RNAcentral
UACAGAGGGGGCAAGCGUUGUUCGGAAUUACUGGGCGUAAAGGGCGCGUAGGCGGCCUUCUAAGUCAGGCGUGAAAGCCCCGGGCUCAACCUGGGAACCGCGCUUGAGACUGGUGCGCUCGAGUUCGGGAGAGGAUGGUGGAAUUCCCAGUGUAGAGGUGAAAUUCGUAGAUAUUGGGAAGAACACCGAUGGCGAAGGCAGCCAUCUGGACCGACACUGACGCUGAGGCGCGAAAGCGUGGGGAGCAAACAGG